RNAcentral lists this long non-coding RNA (1729 nucleotides) under Homo sapiens (human). RNAcentral's name for it is "HSALNT0201472". The record is from RNAcentral. Lineage: Eukaryota; Metazoa; Chordata; Mammalia; Primates; Hominidae.
AGGGUGCUGGAGUGGGGCUCAUUCUGUGCCAGGGUUGAGAUCUCAGGGGCUCUGCUCGCGGGUGGAAGAACUGCUCCCAUUAAGAUGGAUCUAGAAGGUCUCUUUGGUUUCAAACAAGAUCUCAAUAAACAGUGGAGAUAUAGGGAAUGGAGUCUAAUUUUUCAGGGACAAGAAAUAGGCAAAAAUUAAGCAGGGUAUUAAGGCUUUAAACAAGCAGGCUGAAGCCCAGCACAAGCCUGCGACAGAGCUAGGGAAAUGGAGCAGAAAUGAAGCAAGCUCGGUCACACUGCCACACCAGCAACGUGGUGGGAUGCUGAGAGAACCUACUCCUAAGGGGGUGAGAGAGCCUGGGCCUACCACAGGAUCCCCAGCUACAGACAGCAAGGCCCACUCCUGCACUGCUGAUUGGUGGGUCUGAGUCUGUCUUCUCAGGGACAAACUGAAGGUCUGCACAUGGUUAAGGUUUCCUGUUAAACGUCCUCAGAGCCUGCCAUGGAAGGGAACAGUCCAAAAGCUUCAAGGAAAGCAGAGACCGCAAGCAGAGGCUCAAGCCAUAAGUCAGGACUUGGGGAAAAAAGCGAAGAACCCAAUUAUCAGAAGUGAGCACCAAGCUCAGCACUAACUGAUGCCUGUUCUCCGUGCUGAGCUAGGAAAUGCUGAAACUCCCCUGACUUUAAGACCCAUCCCAGAGGUGGGAUGCCUCCAUGAGCUCCAACAGGCAGCCUCGCCGACCUCCCAGCUCUGCUCAGUUGCUCAGCACCCCAUGGAGAAGGUGAAGCCCAUAAUGAACACACUGCCCUGGCCACUUACUUCCUCCAACCAAAGAAGCCCUCAUCUCCCGGGCCUAGACCAUUUCCGGAGACCAGCUUGUGACAGAGCCACAACCUCCGGUCACUCUGUCAGCUAUCUGCAGUUCCUCCUUUUUCCUUUCCUCUCUCCCCUCAUAAACAAUGACUGUUGAUGUUUCCACUAGCUACAGAUGCUGAUGCCAAGAUUAGCUUUGGUCAAGAUGAUAUUCUCCAUCCUCCAAAACAAUGACCAAAAUGUUUUAUUUUAUGGCUAGGAACUUUACUUUCUUUCAUAUGAAAUAUUUAAUGUAUUUUUCACUGUGCUCAUUUUUGUUUUGUGUGGUGAUAGUUAAUAGCAAAACUUAUGCUACCCCAUCAAGAAAUAAACAAGGAACUUCUUGAUAACAGGAGGAACUAACCAUGCAACUGAAAGCAGAGGCGCAAAAAAGAGCUUUUUCUAUAUUUGAUUCCUUCUCUGAUUUGUAUAAUCUCCCCAUCAAAAAAAAAAAAAUCAAUGAAUUGUGUAACUCAGUUUCUCAAGUGUCAUAACAACCUGUGCUCCCUGUUCCACUCUCCCCACACACAGAAUGCUUAAUAAGAGAUUAAAGCACACAUAGACAUCUAUCGUUUUAAGCAGGUAGCUAUAUGCUUCUGCUGCCACUCACCAAAGACAGGGAAAUUUCUCAUUUGUAUAAAGCCCAGUUACCAAUACUUAACAGCUUUCUCUUCUAUAAGUUCAAGUCUAAAAAAUAGAAUUUCAGAACAGUGGAGGAAAAUAUGAAUAUUACAACAUAUAAUAUUAAGGCAACCAUAGUCUCAUGGGAAAAAAAACAGGACAAAACCCAGAUGAUGCAGAGUUUUAAGUGUAAAAAUAAAAGAAUAAAAGUAAUAGAGAAAAAAUGGUUUUUUAAAAAUACUUUUUGGAGGCUGGGCGUGGUGGC